UUGUGAUUUACGUCUAAUGCUUUGGAACUGCGACGGAACCUCGGCCGGACCUUGACGAACAACGACCUUAAUGGAAAUGGAUCAUGGCUGGACUCAUUAUCCCUCUCCACGAUAGCCGAAGCAGCUAAAGCUGCUGACUUAACUGUGGAAGCAACAGUUGAGGCACCAGAGGAUACAAUCUUGGAGAGUGCUCGAAAUGAACUAGCAAAAACACCAUGCUUGCCCCUCCCUGACCUAGGCACUACUCCACCUUCAAGAGGUGGUUUUUGG
Molecule: long non-coding RNA, 270 nt
Filed under: Nicotiana benthamiana
Lineage: Eukaryota; Viridiplantae; Streptophyta; Magnoliopsida; Solanales; Solanaceae
Description: long non-coding RNA (NBEN_LNC037904)
Source: RNAcentral